UACGGGGGGAGCAAACGUUGUUCGGAAUCACUGGGCGUAAAGGGAGCGUAGGCGGCCAUGUAAGUGAGGUGUUAAAUCCCCCGGCUCAACCGGGGACCUGCACCUCAUACUGCACGGCUUGAGUACAUCAGAGGAGACUGGAAUUCCCGGUGUAGCGGUGAAAUGCGUAGAUAUCAAGAGGAACACCUGCGGCGAAGGCGGGUUGCUGGGCCGACACUGACGCUGAGGCGCGAAAGCCAGGGGAGCAAACGGG
RNAcentral lists this ribosomal RNA (253 nucleotides) under uncultured bacterium. RNAcentral's name for it is "partial 16S ribosomal RNA". It matches the Rfam family "Bacterial small subunit ribosomal RNA", at positions 524 to 776 of the family's 1533-position model. The record is from RNAcentral.